Molecule: non-coding RNA, 3668 nt
Organism: Cyanistes caeruleus (blue tit)
Lineage: Eukaryota; Metazoa; Chordata; Aves; Passeriformes; Paridae
Source: RefSeq, a predicted model, not a curated record
CCCGCAGCCCUGCUCGCCACCAGCUGCCUCCGCGCCCCGGUCCAUCUGCACCUUCUGCCUCAGCGACCAGCGGCAGCGGCACCGAGAAAAAGAGAAACCAUCACCUGGUCCAGCCGUAACCGGACUCUGAACAGGCUGAGGGUCUCGCAGCACUCCUGCUCUGACUGUACCACUGCUCUGGGUAACAUCGCCUCACUCGUGCUGCACCUUUACAUUUAGAUAGCACAGUCCUAAAAGAGUUACUUUUUAAGCCUAUACGCUUUGUUUCAUAUUGUGAGGGGUUUUUUCAGGAUGUUUUGCAAAUGAAAUUCGCUGCCUCCGUUGAGGCACCACGGUUGCACCUGGUGCGGCAGCUAUUUUAGCGCGAGAAAUGUUAAACCUCAGCAGCCAAGCCCUGAUCCUGAUGCCUCCUAAACCUGUGUCGCAUGAUGAAACUUGAACUUCCAAACACACGGUGUCCCCUGUCAGGGGAAGCUGCCGUGAACACGCCGUGCCCGACGCCUCCAGCGCAGCCCGGGCUGCACGCAGCGCUCGCUGCCGCCCACUCCUCCGGCUGCACGCCAGCCCCCGGGGACACGGCCCAUGCCGACAGCUGACAUGCUUGAGAGGUCUCAGCCAUGCUGGAAGAUUAUUUUGAGGUGCUCACAGAAAGUCGGAAAACUUCCAGCGAAAGCAGCCCGGUUGGCUGUGCACAGGCGCUGCGGCACGGGAUGUAUCCAGCACAGGAGAGGAAAGGGGAGAAGUGCAGUGUAAGCGAUGCUCUUUUCUUAUUAACAGGGCGAGUCGUGCCAGUCCUUUAAAUAGCACAGGAUAUUCCUAAAUCUGCCGGGCAAGGAGGGUUUCCCAAGGGCUUUUACCCAUCACCCAGGUAGUUCCAUAGCUGCCCCGUACAUCACUGAGGUUGUUUAUCUCCCCUCAGUUUACUAACUUGUAUACUUUUUUUCAGAAGUAACUGUAAAAGGCAAAUAAGAUUUUCUGUUUUCAGAUUUGGACAUUAGUGAAGCAGCAAGCUAAAAUCUUAAACCCCAGUAAUGCUGAGGUUUAAGAAACACAGAGAUAGGUUAAUUUUGCAAUGUUUUUUAUAGCUAUUUAUAAUACAAUUAAUUAGGCUUUAAUUAAUCUAAACUCGUUAUUUGGGGAGGCACUCUGUAACUGUAACCACUCCAAGUGCUGCAAGGAAAACUUUCCUUUUUCCUCCCCUGAUGCCAUCUGUGCAGUGCUCCUGGCCAGCCUUGCUGCUCUGGCCAGGAGUGAGGGCUGAAGAAGCAGCUCUGUGUUGUUCACUUUCUUUUCUGUCCAGAGUUUUCUCUCCUUGUCCUACAUAAGUGCAAAGCAAAAUCUGGCAGUCGUUAUGAAGAACUUGGCAAGAGCAAGGUCGUGGUGUACUCCUACACAACUUCACCUUUUCAGUUUCCCUUUUCCCCUGCUCAACAUAACAGCGGCCACUUUUUCUGUAGCACAAUGAGGAAAAAUCUGCUGUACCUACAGAAAUGCAGUGAGCUCUUCCUUUGAAUUCCAACAAAGCAAAAUCUCAGCGAUUCCACAUCACGUCAGUCUCUUCAGUUAUUAAAAGCUACAGGAUGUAUUUUCCUGGAUUGAGAGGAGAUUCUUGUUUUUAGGUUUCUAUCAUUAAUCUCUUUUUUUAAUGGGGAACUUUCAGUUGCUGCCAGAUCAUGGUCUUUGCUUUGGCACUGAUUUGUGAAGCUGGAACUCUUUAUAGCUUUGUACAGUGUUUUUUAAUUUUUGUGUUGUGUCAGCCUCUAUGUGUGGGUAUAGAGUUCUACAAACAUACCUUCCUGGAUAUUUUUUUAAUCAAUUUGAAAAAAAUUGUUUUUUAAAAAGUCAUUUACUUCACAAUUAAAGCUGAUCUUACAGUUCAGCCCAACAUUCUUAUGAACACAUUAAACCAAAACAUCUGACCUCUUUAUAGACAAUUAACACUAAUUUAUUCAUUUAGCUGUAUCAUUUCAUAUGAUACCCUAAAAUGACAAAACAUAAUGCAGUUUCAAACAAUUGUAGGAAAAUUUUGCAUUGAGUAAGCUCUGAAUUUUGAAUUUUGUAGGAAAGACAAUAAAAUUAUUUAUUUCAGGUUUUCAAAAAAGGAUUUUUUUGCAGUUUUAAGAGUUUUUAGUGUAGCUCUUGGCAAAUGAAAUAUAUUUGGAUUUAAUAAGAUAUCUUUAUACUUAGUUGUUAAAGGAAAUGAGUACAAAAUGUGAGGUCCAUUUUUGUACCAAAGUAUGAGCUGAAAUCUCAUAACUCGAAACUCUCAUGAAUAAUUUCUACAAUCCUAUAGGAAUUUGAUGUUCUCCCUCUAAUGAGGAUUUUAUCUCCCUAGUUUUGCAAAGGGUUUAUACCAAAUGCUUUUCAAUGACAAAAGCAGGAGCAGGCCCUAACAACUUAGCCUUCUCUCCUGUUUAAUGUGGCUCAGCGUACCAUUAAAUUCUCUCUUUACUCAGGAUAAACUGUUGAAUUCAACUGGGCUUGGAGAUUUUCUCAGGGUUUCAAUUACUAAAUAAUGCAGGAGUUUCAGUAACACUGAUUGAUCAUGGCAGAAAUUAGACCCCAGAGCACUGUGGCCCAAAUAUUUAUGGUAUAGACAGAUAAUGUCUAUCCAAAGCAAUUAUAACCAUGAUUUCUCUGAGGAACAUUUAUAUAUGUGUAACUCUGUGUAUUUAAAUGAGGAGAACUGGGGACAAGUCCUUAACUUUGCUGAAAUUUAUUUGUAAUGUAAAACUUCUCUAACCCCAGGAGCAGAAAAAAAAAAAGAUAUAGGAUUGAGCUGUUACUCUGUAAUGGAUUUUCUAUAAAUCAAGGGAAAAAAAAAAGAAUUUAAUUUCUGGAGACACAGAUGAAUUGAGGGCUUGGAUUGCACAUAUAAAGAGCUCAUCAUCAUUAGGUAUUUUACUGAGUUUUUACUGUAUGAGCUUGUGUGUCUUAUCAGACCUAUUUUUUAAUCAUGGAGCAGCGUUAUUCAUGGCAUGCAAAAUAUAAAAGUCAAAAUCUUGAGGGUGUCAGAGAACAAGUACCUCACUUGAGGUAAUUGACCAAUGAGGCAUUGGAAUGAUGUGAGUUUUUCCAGAGGUGCCAAACAGCCUCUUGUUCUGCAGAUAUUGGGGAUAUUGACUUACUUGUGAGCACAUUCUGUUCUGUAUGUAUGAACAGAGGCAUGCCUGAUGCCAAUCCCAGCUUUGUUUUCCUGCAAACACUUGGCUAUUCAAUUUAUGAUGCAUGAAUAAAGCAGAAACAGUGAGAUAUACACCAUUUGGCCUCAGAUCCUAUUAAAUUAUUGUUAAAAUAAUCCAAGCAUAGUACUUUGUGUAAAUCAUUGUACGUAGCCUGCUACAUCACUAUAUAAAAACAGCACCAAGCAAAGUGAAUAAAUCAUGUUUGAUUUUACAGGUUAAAUUUAAAGAAGCAUUUGAACAUAGUUCUUAGUUAUUUAUGAAUUAAUCAUAAUGUAAGUCAAAGUAGUUUCAUAUGUUGCCUUCUAUUUUCACUGCUGUUCUACAAAACAGAAGUUUCCUUUCAUGGAAAAUCUGCUUCUUUACAAAAAUCUGUAUUUGUUUGCAAAAUGUGAUUACAUUUGCUAAAAUAAACUAUUUUUGUUACUAAUUUAAACAAUAAACUGCAAACACUAAGCUGGAAGUUCUCUUCCACAGCCAUCUCAA